CUGCCAGCCCACCCUCCCGGCAUGAACGUGGGCAGUGGGGUGGCUCCGUUGUUCAGAGAGCAAAUGAGCCGCCCAACUGUUCUGUUCCGUACUUUCUCUCACGUUUCUAUUUGCAGAACUGGGGGCUUUGAGGCAGGCUUGUUCAGAGUGCACUGAAUUUAUGUGGACUGCAUUCCUGGAAAAGAUGGUGGGCAGUCACUGCACGCCUGGCCCAGCAAGGACAUUUUCCCCACAAAGUGUGAUAACCAGAAAACCCCCUGCAGGCUGCCCAAUGUUCCCUGGCUGCAACAUCGCCCUUGCUGUGUAACCAUGUGUCACGAAAGGAUGUCAGUGUUUAAAGCUCAUGCUUCCUUCUUUUGAAGACACUGGCCUGUGGGGUCUUUUGCUUGGAGGCCCCUCAAGUGGCCAGUCAUUGCAUGGAGGGCUGUCCCCCCCUCUUCCCCCACCCCGGGACUCUCCAAGUGCAUGAACUUAGGUCCAUCUGCAGGCCGCUAUGCAAGCAGACUACCAGUAAUUUUCCGUUCAAGUUUCAAUGCCUUGCCUUGAAAAUGGAACACCGCUGACUUUAUUUCUAACACUUUCCCAUGUGUAACUCUGAGAUGACCCACCUGAGAAGGAUGUCUCCUGAAAACUCCUUGUUUCACACACACGUCCUUCACUGGCUCUUUCCCUUGCCAUCCGCUACAGUGCUGGUUUCCCGAAAGUCCUUCCCUUCUCUGCCGUCUCUCAUCUGUGUGGUCCCUUGCACUCCCUGGAGAGAGUGGGUGUGUGUAGACAACUGUUGAAUCUCCAUGUGCAGUUCCGACCUGGGUUCGCCCGCAAACUCCGAGUGAUCCAGACGGUGAUCAUUCAUUCGUCUUCCCUCACCUCCUUUAAUUCUCCUGCAUUGCCAGCCCUGUCCAUAGCUUUAUCCACAAAUCUGGGACUCAUCCCUAAGUAUCUCUCUCCUGACCUUCCUCGGCCAGCUGACCCCCACCUCCUUUGGAGCCUGAGUGUCUUGUGUUGCGUUUUCUUUCUCAUCCCGGUGAUGGCGCUGCCUGCAUUAUUGCUCGCCUGGACAGUCGCGGUGGUCACUAACUUGGGCACUGCCUCCGGCUCUCCGUGGGUCUGAUUCCUGUAGACGUCCAGCAAAGCAGGGACCAGAGCGCUCUUCGAGUCCUCACGCUCUGGCUGGAACUCAGUAACGGUAGCCAUGACCUCAGUGACUGCUCAUGUGACACUUUAGCUGGGUAUACACAGCGACUUUCAACCAGUGUGCUGCUAGAGUGUUUAAAACACGACCUCUUUCCCCUUAGAUUGUCAAAUAAAAAUACAGCAACAGCCAACCCAACAA
Myotis myotis is the source of this 1333-nucleotide long non-coding RNA. RefSeq lists it as uncharacterized. The transcript is spliced from 2 exons. The record is from RefSeq and is a predicted model, not a curated record. Lineage: Eukaryota; Metazoa; Chordata; Mammalia; Chiroptera; Vespertilionidae.